AAAAUAUAUUGCGAAAAUAAGAAUAACAUUUAAGAAGUGUUUUUUAUAUGAGAUGUGUCUUGAAGCAAAUGAUAGAUUUAAAAUCAUUUAAUGGAAUUAUUUAAAUCAUGUCAUGCGUGGAGAGUGGCAUAAAGGAGUGGACAUUUUUGGAAUGAAGGAAUUUUUUUUCAUUAGAUAAAUUAAAGAAAAUUAAAUUUUCUUUGGUAUCGUCGAAUUCUAUUAUGCACAGAUUUUUUAUUAAAUUCAAAUUUUCGAUACAUAUUUUUCUAUGGAGUAGCAGCGAUAUUUAUCUCAAAGUUCACGAUAUUUAAAAUUUCUUAUAAAAGAUAUAUUUUAUAUUACGGGCAUAUGUGAAUAUGACAGAAGUAUCGAUGAUAAGAGAUUUCCUUUAAUCGUAAGUGAAACCUGCUAGACAGAAAUAUAGAAAGCGGCAUUUAUAUGCAUAGUGACAAAAAUUCAAUACGAGGCAAAUAUUGGCUCGAUAUCACUUAACCGCUAUUCGCAUUUGAGCAUUGACCAUUUUCACUAAUGUUUGCUCGAUAAAUUAUUCAGUUAUACAUGAUACUGCAUUAAGUAUAACUAACAUACUAUAUACGUACAUAUACAUUUAUAUGCAUUAAUAUAAAAUUUCAACAGAAAAGUCGUAAUACGAUAUUAUAAUAUUUAUUACGUCAAUUUAAAAAAUUUCUCAGAGCUUAUGAAUAAAACCAGAUAAUUAAAUCUCCAAUUUUUCUCAUCGCAAA
Apis laboriosa (Himalayan honeybee) is the source of this 743-nucleotide long non-coding RNA. RefSeq lists it as uncharacterized. The record is from RefSeq and is a predicted model, not a curated record. NCBI's taxonomy places the organism in Eukaryota, Metazoa, Arthropoda, Insecta, Hymenoptera, Apidae. The transcript is spliced from 3 exons.